GCCCUACGGGAGGCAGCAGUGGGGAAUAUUGGGCAAUGGGCGCAAGCCUGACCCAGCAACGCCGCGUGAGGGACGACGGUCCUAUGGAUUGUAAACCUCUUUUGUCGGGGAACAAAGGCGUCCACGGGUGGGCGGAUGAGUGUACCCGAAGAAAAAGCAUCGGCUAACUCCGUGCCAGCAGCCGCGGUAAUACGGAGGAUGCGAGCGUUAUCCGGAUUUAUUGGGUUUAAAGGGUGCGUAGGCGGACAGUCAAGUCAGCGGUAAAAAUGCGGUGCUCAACGCCGUACAGCCGUUGAAACUGGCAG
This 305-nucleotide ribosomal RNA is filed under the name uncultured bacterium. RNAcentral's name for it is "bacterial SSU rRNA". It matches the Rfam family "Bacterial small subunit ribosomal RNA", at positions 335 to 639 of the family's 1533-position model. The record is from RNAcentral.